This is a long non-coding RNA of Myotis lucifugus (little brown bat), 1247 nucleotides long. RefSeq lists it as uncharacterized. Lineage: Eukaryota; Metazoa; Chordata; Mammalia; Chiroptera; Vespertilionidae. The transcript is spliced from 2 exons. The record is from RefSeq and is a predicted model, not a curated record.
GCACUGCCCGCCGACUGCGGCCUCGAGCACCAUCUGGCGGCCGCACAGCCUUACUGCAAGCCCUGCCCGAGGGAGCCGGUCGCCAUCUGGUGGCUGCGCUCGGAACUUCGCCCGGCGGGGAGCAGGACUGCGUGCAGGGUGUGGGAGCCUGGGUCAGGCAGGAAAAUAUGAUACGCUUCUGCCUCAUCACUACCAUUUCUGCUGAGACCCUUGGAGCACAUGUGGGAGGCGCCAGCAACUCGGCUCACAACGAGGGCAGCACAGUGUCGCCUCCGAAUCUGUUCCAGGGCCUUUUCCUAAAGGCCAGGGGCCUGGAGACAAAGUGGGUUUUGAUUUUGUACCUGAGAGGUGGCCCCCAGAGGUGGGGGAGCUGGGCCUCCCCACAGGGCCAUGUGGACGCGGGCAGCUGCCCCAGGGAGGAGGGGACCAUUUCCACCUUUCUCAGCUGCCCCUUUGCCCAAGUGCAGCUGCUCCAUUAGGCAUCAUGGCGCCCACAGGCUCAUGAAGGCAGAGGAAAUGGGGUGCUUCCCUUAGAUUCAUAGCAGGAAGUCAGAGGUAUGACCUGGUCAAUUCUCAGCCAAACCAGAUCACUGGGAACAGCUGUCCACACAAAGGGGUCUGGAAGAGGCACCUGAAUUUCUAUCCUAAUGCCCCCAACUUUUACUUCUCCCAGCCCUGCUAGCAUCACAGAGGCUAGGCCCGGUCCCCGAAGGUCCCCCGGGACUGGGAGGAGCAGGAGCAGAUUAGGUCAUAGAUCAAGUGGGCCUACGGCAGUGGUCGGCAAACUCAUUAGUCAACAGAGCCAAAUAUCAACAAUACAACAAUUGAAAUUUCUUUUGAGAGCCAAUUUUUUAAAACUUAAACUAUAUAGGUAGGUACAUUGUUGUUAACUUAAUUAGGGUACUCCUAAGGCUUAGGAAGAGCCACACUCAAGGGGCCAAAGAGCCACAUGUGGCUCGAGAGCCGCAGUUUACCAACCACUGGCCUAAGGGAUUGGAACUCAUGUCUUCAGGGAUGAGGCAGGUAGGAGCGGGGAGGGCGAUAGAGAGCAGUGGGGACUGUGGUGCUCCAGAGCUCAUGCCCAUCAGAAGGCAUAGCAGCCACUCGACCGCAGCCCAUGCCGCCACGUGGAAAGAUGGGCGCAGGGUGGCCAGAAUGUACGAUUUCUCAGGGAAGGUUGGAAAUCUGGCUUUUAAUGAGAAAUUUUUUAAGCGCUGUGUCAGUUGAAUUGAAUACAUCUUUUUUUU